UCAUGCCCCAGUCCAGCCUGUUGAAGUUUGAGAACCACUGCUCCUGGGCAAGGACACUGACUUUCAGGACCUGCCUUGUCUGUUACCUUUACUUUUCAUGGCAAUCCUGUGAGAUGAAGAAAUUUUAUUCCCACCCAUCAGAGUAAGAAACUAAGGUUCAGACAGGUCACCUCACUCACUCUAGUUCCCUCUACUGGGGCGGCCUGGACUUUGGACAAUGCUCAGAUCUGAGUGCCUUGGGUGCUUGGCGCUUUCCAAUAUGAUUACCCUUCUUCCCAGCUCAGCCAGGAGAUUAACCUCUGCCAUGUCCCCUCUCCUCCCACAGCUCUUCUAGAGAAAGCCAUUCAUCAGUGCUUCAUUCAUCUGGAUGCUUGUCAAGGUCUGGGGAAACAAAGGCAACAGACUGUGAGCAUGAGGUAAGGCAGGAAGAUGACAAUGGUUCCCUGAAGGACAGGGAAGGAGGAGAAACCAGGAGCCAGAUCUUGGUCUCUACCCUUCCCCAUGAACUGCCUGGUGUCACUGCUGACAACAGCACUGUGUUUAUUUACUUCCUCCUGUUUUCUAUCCAGAGGACGGGGCCCAGAGAGGGUUUCUUCUGCCCUGGUUGGGGGCAGGCAGGCAGUGAGCCCUCCAGGAAUUAGGACCCAGCUGGGAAGGGAAGACUCACCCGUGUGAAGCAAGGAGAGGGAGGCCAUAAAGUCAAUGCUGAAACAGACACUAGAUAAAGGCUCCUGCCCGUGUUUUCCCUUCACUUCCUCUGCUUCCUGCCCGACCUUGGUGUCUCCCGAUGCAGCCCUGCAUGAGAUUCCAUGCCUCUGGGAUCUAGGGAUCAGGACAUGCUUGAGGACUGACCGGGGCAUGGAGCUUUGGGUCACUGGCACCUGGCAUAGUGCACGGGGCAGUCAGUGCCGACUGGUGUGAAUGGAAAGAACACAGAGGUGGGUGUCAGGUGAUGACGAUCCAUGUAGCUUUCCAGUCAGUGUGCAGUGUUUUCUGUCUUACCCCAUUCUGUCCUCCCUCAGACCCUCUAAGGGAGGUAGCUGUUAUUCCCACUUUACAGAUGAGAAGACUGAGGUUCGGGGAAGGGAAGGCAUUUGCCCAGCAGUCUGACCCAGGGGCUGCCUUCUGUGGAGUCUGCCACUGUCACAUUCACAAGUUUCAUUUGUCAUGUGACCGAGACUUCCUCACCUGUCAGCCUCCUCCUCAUGGCCGCUGGCUGCAUUCCAGCUCCUGAGCAAUGUGACAAAUGCCAACAGAGCCUCUCAGAGGUGAGAGCAGAGGGCUGAGGACUGGGAGGCACCGGCUGACUCCUGACCUUGCUGUGCUCCCAGCUUGAGGGAGGAGGAAGGAUACUCUCAGAGGUGACCCUUGUCGCCCUUCCCCUCUGUGUCACAAACAGCUCUCCAGAAGCCCCGAUUCAUAGCAUUUGCCAGUUUCCAUGGUGCAAGAACUCCCACAGUAUGGAGUUAGCUACCUCUGUGUGGACCAAAUGUUUGCAUCCCCACUGGACCCCCCAAAUUCCCAUGUUGAAGCCCUAAGCACCAGUAGGGCUGUAUUCAGAGGUGGGGCCCCUAAGGAAAUAACCAAGGUUAAUGAGUCAUGGGGGUGGAGGGCUGAUCCUAUAGGACUAGUGUCCUUACAGAAAGUGGCGUCAGAGUGCUGCUGUCUCUGUCUCCACACGCACCUGCUGAGGGAAGGCCUUGUGAACACAUAGCAAGAUGGCGCCGCCUACAAGCUACAGGCGGUGACCUCAGGACACAACCUACCCUGCCAAACCUUGAUCUAGGACUUCCCGCACUCCAGAACUGAGAGAAAUUCCUGCUAUUUAAGUCACCCGGUCUGUGGCAUUUCAUCAUGGCAGCCCGAGCAGACUAAUACGACUCCCGAUGUGAAGUCACUGAAUUUGAGCCAAGAAGAAAUGCACAGCGGCAGGUGCUUCUACGUUAUUCCCACCAUGCAGAUGCAACAGCAUAAAUAACGUCAAGAGCAUAGAUAAUAGUAAUACGUGGUAAACUAUGGAGGCAGAGACGAGCUUUCUUCCUUUUUAAUAUAAUUUAUUGUAAGGUUAUAUUUUUCUUCUUUUUUAGGUUUAUGUAUGUAUGUAUUUAUUUAUUUACAGUGCUGGGGGGGAGGGGCAGAGAGAGAGGGAGAGAGAGAGAAUCUCAUUAGGCUCCACACAGUUAGCAGUGUGGAACCCCAUACGGGGCUCAAACUCAUGAAUUUUGAGAUCAUGACCUGAGCGGAAACCAUGAGUUGGAGGCAUAACUGACUGAGCUACUCAGGUGCCCCAGGUUAUAUUUUUUUCUUGAUUAAAAAUUAAGGAAACAUUUUUAAAUGUUUAUUUUUGAGAGAGAGAGCACACGAGUGGAAGAGGGGCAGAGAAAGAGAGAGGGGGACACAGAAUCCGAAGCAGGCUCCAGGCUCUGAGCUGUUAGCACAGAGCCUGACUCAGGGCUCAAACUCAUGAACUGUGAGAUCAUGACUUGGGCCAAAGUUGGCGGAUUAAGUGACUGAGUCACCCAGGCGCCCCUUGAUUAAAAAUGUUUUAUUGUGUUAAUGCAUACUUAACAAAAACUUACCAUUUUAGCCAUUUUUAAGUAUACAGUUCAGUGGCAUUAGGUACAUUUAUACUGUUGUGCACAUAUUUAAUAUUUAACAGUGGCUGUGUUGAGAAAGGACUCACAACAUUCCCCCAAAUUAACAAUCAGCUCCAGUACGUUUCCCUCUGUGGGAUCCCCUUUAUCCAUGGUCAUCAGGUGGCUUAGCAAAUUCAGAAGAAAAAUCCAGGAAAUGCUUUUGUUGAUGUGCAUUUCACAGAAUUCAAAUUUAAGGUGAAUUAUCAUGGACACAUAGUCCUCCUCCUUUUUUCCUUCCUUUAUUUGAAAUAUGUUUUUAGUGGCCUGAGCUGAGCACAUUCUUACAAGGCCUGAACUGGCCAACGGAUCUCAGCUGAGGCGACACUUUGGUUCAUGUCAGCCUCAAACUUCAUGUCAUUCACUGCGUGUCACUGGCCCCUGGUACUGAUGUGUUUUUGGUUUGAAAGUGUUUUGGUGUGGACGGGUUGUGCCCCCUCUGAAGGCUCUAGGGAAGGAUCCUUCCCGCCUCUCCCAGUUUCUGGAGCUCAAAGCAGGCUUCGGGGUCCUGGGCCCGUUGAGGCACCACGCAGUCUCUCCCUCCCAUGUCUGCCUUCCAGCGUGACGAUUGGCUUCCCUAUAUUCCCUGUUCAGAUGCAGAGUGGCUGCCGGCCCUGGUGGCCCUGGUCUUUCACUGGAGCAUAAUUACUGUGAUAAAGUGGUUACCAGUGCAUCUUGGACAACACAAGCUGGGAUGAGGGUGAGACCCGGGAGACCCGAGAGAGGGAGUUUGCAUCUGAGAAGAGUGAGUGUGGGUGGUGACCCCCAUAAGGACCCCAGGUGGAAGAGGCUUCUCCAGAGUCUGGGGGUAAUAGCUGCAAACGGCUCCCAGGCACACACCCUGUCACGGGCCUUUAUUAACUCGUGGUGUCUAUAGAAAUGUAAUUAUUCGGUGCCAGCAAAAGGCCAGAGUACAAUCAGAGCCCUGUGCCUUAUGUCUAAAUAUUUAAGUUAUCAUAACUUGGCAAAUAAUAUCUCUCUGCCCUGAGAAGUAUGCCUUCAUAAUACAAAAUUGAGAAAUGUGUUUUUAUGCAAAUGACAGCAAAACAAAGAUAGCUGAACUGAUUAUUAUUACAGGAGCCUGGAUGUUCUGUUUUGGGUUGGCGAUAUUUGCAGAUUUUUAAAGACGUAGGGGUGCCUGGGUGGCUCAGUCAAUUAAGCAUCUUACUUCGGCUCAGGUCAUGAUCUCACAGUUCAUGGGUUCAAGCCCUGCAUGGGGCUCUGUGGAGCCUGGAGCCUGCUUCAGAUUCUGUGUCUUCCUCUCUGUCUGCCACUCCCCUGCUCAUGCCCUCUGUCUCUCAAAAAUAAGUAAACAUUAAAAAAAAAUUAAAGAGAACUACUGGGACCUCAUCAAAAUAAAGAGCUUCUGCACAGCGAAGGAAACAAUCAACAAAACCAAAGGCAACCGACAGAAUGGGAGAAGAUAUUUGCAAAUGACAUAUUAGAUAAAGGGUUAGCAAAAAUCUAUAAAGAAGUUAUCAAACUCAACACCCAAAAAACAAAUAAUCCAGUGAAGAAAUAGGCAGAAGACAUGAAUAGACACUUCUCCAAAGAAGACAUCCAGAUGGCCAACCGACACAUGAAAAAAUGCUCAACAUCACUCAUCAUCAGGGAAAUACAAAUCAAAACCACAAUGAGAUACCACCUCACACCUGUCAGAAUGUCUAACAUUAACAACUCAGGCAACAACAGAUGUUGGCGAGGAUGUGGAGAAAGAGGGUCUCUUUUGCAUUGUUGGUGGGAAUGCAAGCUGGUGCAGGCACUCUGGAAAACAGUAUGGAGGUUCCUCAAAAAACUAAAAAUAGAACUACCCUAGGAUCCAACAAUUGCACUACUAGACAUUUAUCUACAGGAUACAGGUGUGCUGUUUCAAAGGGAUAUCUGCACCCCCAUUUUUUUAGCAGCACUAUCAACAAUAGCCAAAGUAUGGAAAGAGCCCAAAUGUCCAUCUAUGGAUGAAUGGAUAAAGAAAAUGUCAUAUACAAUGGAUUAUCACUCAGCAAUCAAAAAGAAUGAAAUCUUGCCAUUUGCAACUACGUGGAUGGAACUGGAGGGUAUUAUGCUAAGUGAAAUUAGUCAGAGAAAGACAAAAUUCAUAUGACUUCACUCAUAUGAGGACUUUAAGAGACAAAACAGAUGAACAUAAGGGAAGGGAAAUAAAAAUAAUAUAAAAACAGGGAGGGGGACAAAACAGAAGAGACGCAUAAAUAUGGAGAACAA
Long non-coding RNA from Acinonyx jubatus (cheetah), 4853 nucleotides. RefSeq lists it as uncharacterized. The record is from RefSeq and is a predicted model, not a curated record. NCBI's taxonomy places the organism in Eukaryota, Metazoa, Chordata, Mammalia, Carnivora, Felidae. The transcript has 3 exons.